Molecule: long non-coding RNA, 2413 nt
Organism: Rhopilema esculentum
Lineage: Eukaryota; Metazoa; Cnidaria; Scyphozoa; Rhizostomeae; Rhizostomatidae
Source: RefSeq, a predicted model, not a curated record
AAACUAGAUCGCCUGAAAAACAUGUUACAUUUGUAUUUUGUGAAUGGAACAUAAUGAUUUUAACUUUGAAUUCUAUCUGUAAUGUUAUGGGUAGGUAUUCUAAAAUCAUCUUAAAACCAUUCAGAAGUUUUUUCAAACUAUUGUUAAAAACAGUAUAUAUAGUCAUAGUUGCUUUUGAGUAUGAAGUAAAAACCCAGUAAAUUUAAAGAAAUGAUUUGAAAUUAAAAUAAAUGAAUAUAGACAAACUUAUGAUUUUUAAUUAGGAAAGCUUCAAAACUAUACACCAGUAAUUUACAAACCCUUUGUUCAAUCCUAGAAAAACAACUCAGCCUUGUUCGGCAAUAUUCACUUUCGAUUAAUACAAGUUAUUGAUGAAACAGCUUAUUGUUAACAUUGUUAUUGGGUAAGGCCUUUAACUUGCCUGCCGCCAUAUUGCGGAAGUAAAUCUAGCUUCAUUUUAAGCCAUUGUCGAUACAACAGGAUUACAACUAACUGCUUCAAAUCAUGCGUCAAACGCGACGAAUAUCCGGGGAUAAAUUCAAGUAUAACUGUGUUUUUCAUAGUAGAAACAUUAGGCUUUCAGGAUUUUAGGUUUCUACUGGGUGCAUGGCUGCCUGUUAGGUAGGUUCAUGAGCUAGGAGGUGCCAAUUUAAAGAAAUGAUGGCUGGAUACAUGAAUUGGUUGGUUAUCUUUCGAUAUAGGAAAAGUUAGUUACGUUGUUAAUUUGUCAAUAUUUUAGCAUUUCAAGGACACACAGCAACAGGAUUACGACGAGAAAAGCGUAUUGCUAUAUUCGUACCCUUUGGAACACCCUACUGAAAAACGUAACAUACUGAAUCGAAUAGGUGACAGCAUUGAACGAAUAGUCCUUGUCUUGAAUAGAUUUUAUUCUCAAAUAUUUUCUCAGUGCUUGCAAUUUAAUUAUAUGUUUUUUGUCGAAAAUUUUUAACAUCUUUGCCUGCAGUUUUGUAAAAAAAUAAACGUUCGCACUUAAAAAUUUUGCGAAAAGGCACCCCAAAAAUUAGGAACAAAGCGGAAGACGUUAAAGUAAGAAAGGUUGCACUGAAAUUUUCACAAAAAUUUUUCUAAGUGUGAAAUGUAGAGAGCUUUUGCAGAACAUUAUAGACUUCAAUACUUUAGAUGCUAUAUUUUCUCUCAGAGUGUACGCAUUCCUUUUUCUGCUAAGUGUUAUAAACAAUUUUUAGAAGAUAUCAGACCUUACGGUCUAAAAACACCUUGAAACUCUAGAUUUAAAUCUGGCUCUUUCAUCUAUUUUCCCUAACGUCCUUGGGUUGGCUAAAAGUCAAAUACGAAGAAAACUUAAACAAAUUUCUUUUGCACAAUUUACAUUCUCUUUUGUAGGAAAACCGUUGAAUUUCCGAUUUGGAAGGAACAUCAACUCGUCCCCAUGUAGUUACUUUUAAAUGAGUAUUGUCACAAUUACACUUCCCAACAAUCGGUAACCAAACAUUGUGAUACAUUGCUUCUAGAAAAGGUCAGCUAUCUUAAUGGGUUUUGAUGUGUGACGCCACCCCCUCUCAAACACCACUAUUGCGUGAAAUCCUUCUCUUUGCCUUUAGUCACAUUGCAAACCACAACAAAAAGUUACAUUUCUGAGAACAAGAAUUAAUUUGGAAAUCAUUAUUGGCAAUGUCGAAGACACUCCUGAAAUUGCUUCAAAGUAAUCUAAAUCGACGUUUUGUAAAGCAAUAACUUGUCAUUCUAUUUUGCUAGGUCAAAGGUGGAAAAUUCGGGUGACUAAUAUGAAUUGCUAUAGGUGACCUCUUGGUACGAAACAUGAUCUUGCGAUGAGUAUAGUGUUGCCUCUGACAAACAGGGAAUGGAAGCAAUGCCGGUGAUAGGAUGAAAAAGCGAGGCAGGAAAUUUCAUCCUUGUCUUGAAACUCUUCAAUCGUAUCUCUCUCUCUCUCUCCUUGCAUAGAACAAAGUGAAAGAAAUGCGGGGAAGGACAAGGCUCGUACGCCAUGAGCAAGCAACGACAUCGAUAGUGAACGUGUGAUGGCGGGGACUGGCAACUGCGUCAAUUCCCAAGGGACAAUUAGAAAAAUUCCCUGCACUCGAGAAAGAGAGCAAGUCACGGAGACAUUUAAUGCCUUUGAGCCGGCAGUAACAAGGAGCAUUUACUGCUUUUCAAGGUGACGAGGGAAUAGGAAGCUUACGUUUACUGUAUUUUUAUCAGAUUUCUAGCCUUGUAAAAAAAGCAGACAUAAUUUUGUCCAGAUUUUCAAGACGUAACUUCAUCGAUUGUCUUAGUCAACAUGUGAUGGAGAAUUGCUUUAUGUUAGAAAUUGACGAUUCUUGGCAUAAAAGAUCAAUCAAAGCUGUAAUUCUACUCGAAUGAAAAUAAUGAUCUGAUUGUCUUCUUUAUUCUGCUGAAUUUAGACAUGAUAGUA